Molecule: ribosomal RNA, 995 nt
Filed under: Flavobacteriaceae bacterium Fv11
Lineage: Bacteria; Pseudomonadati; Bacteroidota; Flavobacteriia; Flavobacteriales; Flavobacteriaceae
Description: bacterial SSU rRNA
Rfam family: Bacterial small subunit ribosomal RNA
Source: RNAcentral
UGCCCAGGAUGAACCCUAACGGCAGGCCUAUCACAUGAAAGUCGAGGGGUAGAGUUAGCUUGCUAACUUGAGACCGGCGCACGCGUGCGUAACGCGUAUGCAAUCUACCUUGUACAGAGGGAUAGCCCAGAGAAAUUUGGAUUAAUACCUCAUAGUAUUAUCAGGAGGCUUCUUUUGAUAAUUAAAGUUCCAACGGUACAAGAUGAGCAUGCGUCCCAUUAGCUACUUGGUAUGGUAACGGCAUACCAAGGCUAUGACGGGGAGGGGUGCUGAGAGGGAGAUCCCCCACACUGGUAAUGAGACACGGACCAGACUCCUACGGGAGGGAGCAGUGAGGAAUAUUGGACAAUGGGCGCAAGCCUGAUCCAGCCUUGCCGCGUGCAGGAAGACGGGCCUAUGGGUUGUAAACUGGUUUUAUACAGGAAGAAACACUGCUAUGUGUAGCAGCUUGACGGUACUGUAGGAAUAAGGAUCGGCUAACUCCGUGCCAGCAGCCGCGGUAAUACGUAGGAUCCAAGCGUUAUCCGGAAUCAUUGGGUUUAAAGGGUCCGUAGGCGGCCUUAUAAGUCAGUGUUGAAUUCUCAUAGCUCAACUAGGAAACUGCCAUUGAUACCGUAGGGCUUGAAUGUUUAGGAAGUAACUAGAAUAUGUAGUGUAGCGGUGAAAUGCGUAGAUAUUACAUGGAAUACCAAUUGCGAAGGCAGGUUACUACUAAAUGAUUGAAGCUGAUGGACGAAAGCGGGGGUAGCGAACAGGACUAGAUACCCUGGUAGUCCACGCCGUAAACGAUGGAUACUAGCUGUUCGGACUUCGGUUUGGGUGGCUAAGCGCAAGUGAUAAGUAUCCCACCUGGGGAGUACGUAAGCAAGUGUGAAACUCAAAGGAAUUGACGGGGGCCGGCACCAGCCGUGGAGCAUGUGGUUUAAAUCGAUGAUACGCGAGGAACCUUACCAGGGCUUAAAUGGGAGGCGACAGAUUUGGAAACAGAUUUUUAU